UGGGGAAUAUUGGACAAUGGGCGAAAGCCUGAUCCAGCCAUGCCGCGUGUGUUAAGAAGGUCUUCGGAUUGUAAAGCACUUUAAGUUGGGAGGAAGGGCAGUAAGCGAAUACCUUGCUGUUUUGACGUUACCGACAGAAUAAGCACCGGCUAACUCUGUGCCAGCAGCCGCGGUAAUACAGAGGGUGCAAGCGUUAAUCGGAAUUACUGGGCGUAAAGCGCGCGUAGGUGGUUCGUUAAGUUGAAUGUGAAAGCCCCGGGCUCAACCUGGGAACUGCAUCCAAAACUGGCGAGGUAGAGAAGGGCAGAGGGUGGUGGAAUUUCCUGUGUAGCGGUGAAAUGAGUAGAUAUAGGAAGGAAAACCAGUGGCGAAGGCGACCACCUGGGAUCAUACUGACACUGAGGUGCGAAAGCGUGGGGAGCAAACAGG
This 429-nucleotide ribosomal RNA is filed under the name Pseudomonadota bacterium. RNAcentral's name for it is "Proteobacteria bacterium partial 16S ribosomal RNA". It matches the Rfam family "Bacterial small subunit ribosomal RNA", at positions 355 to 776 of the family's 1533-position model. Lineage: Bacteria; Pseudomonadati; Pseudomonadota. The record is from RNAcentral.